UCUGUCUUCUGCCAGGACAUCCCUUUUCCUUUCUACACCCCUGGAGGAUGGGAUCCGAAAGCACAAGAACAAAGCUGCAGGACCCUGGGGUUGGCAGAAGAGCCCUGAUAUCAGGCCCCCCAGAACCACCUGGACCAUGUGCAGGGAUGAGGGCACCCAGGCAUUCUCCAGAAGCCACACAGGUGCAGGAAUGAGACACCGUCCCCAAUUCUACCACACUGAUUUCCAGGGCACGCUCGAGCUGUUCAAUGACUGAGUCACACUAGAAGGACCUGGCCCCCUCUACUUCAGGAGGUCACGAAGUUUCAAAGGUGACUAUCCCCUCAAGGUCAUACCCGCAGACCCAGCCCAGCAGCGCCCUCUUCCAAGACAGGGCCUGAGUCUGUGGAUCUUAUUUCUCCCCCAGCCUGCAGGUAAAGUUAUCUCUUCACCCCUAUGUACUUUCUCCACACCCCUAUGUGAAUACCCUUUUACCUGUGACCCCCAACACCUCUCCGACACUGCCGUAUGAUAAGUCCACUCUGUGAGGCCAUGGCGUGGGUUCCUGUCCCCUGUCAGCUGUUUCACAGCCGUGGCCAUGAGGGAGGAAGCAGGGACACAGGAAGGAGACAGGGAUGGAGCCCCCACCCAGGGUGGCAGAGCAGAGCCGAAUGCUAGUGCACCCUUCCUGGGCCUCUCUCUGUCUGCCUGGCUCCAGCUGCCUGGCAGGUGAGGCGAAGCCCGCCUGCCACCGAAGGGGCCCUGACACAUGUUAAAAUAAAUAUUCCGCGGCAACGAUGCUCCA
Molecule: non-coding RNA, 784 nt
Organism: Myodes glareolus (Bank vole)
Lineage: Eukaryota; Metazoa; Chordata; Mammalia; Rodentia; Cricetidae
Source: RefSeq, a predicted model, not a curated record